AAAGUUGCAAAGAACUCUGAAGAGAGAGUUCAAGAGGGCGUGAAACCGCUGGGAUGGAAGCGAAUAGAGUCGACGAAACCUGCUCCAUCAUUCAACCGAUCAGCUCUGCGGUCUGUCACCGCGCUACCGCACGCAACACUGCGGAGAACGUCGGCGAUAGUCACCGCCGGGUGGAGCUAGGCCUGUGUGAUCGGUGCAUUUGAUGGCGGUAUGCGCCGAGAGCCGCGUCAAAGUGUGCGCUAACGUCUGCUUGGUGCAGUGGACCGUUGUACGUCUUCGGACGGGCGGAAACCUGCACUCGACCGAGGCGUAUCACUGAUGCGGUGAACAGCCGUGUACAGCAGCCCCCGCGCCCUGUUGCGUAUACGCGUCUUUCGAUUGUUCGACCUGGCCGUGUGGCGGCGCGCACUGCUCGCCCAGGCGUGCAGUGCGUCCGCUCAUGGUCUAGUCAGGGUCGUUGGUACGCGUUGGGGCUGUGUCUCGGUGUGAGUGUCGAUCACCUAUUCGACCCGUCUUGAAACACGGACCAAGGAGUCUAGCAUAUGCGCAAGUUAUUGGGUGGUAAACCCGGAGAAAACGCAAUGAAAGUGAAAUCGACCGCUUUGACGGUCGCAAACUGUGAACCAGACGACUBCGUCAGGCGCAACAGUGCCCCGUCUCGGUUGCCGUUGGCAACGGGGCGGAGGUAGAGCGCAUAUGCUGGGACCCGAAAGAUGGUGAACUAUGCCUGAGCAGGAUGAAGCCAGAGGAAAC
This 753-nucleotide ribosomal RNA is filed under the name Rhabdochona hospeti. Its description in RNAcentral is "partial large subunit ribosomal RNA". Lineage: Eukaryota; Metazoa; Nematoda; Chromadorea; Rhabditida; Rhabdochonidae. The record is from RNAcentral.